ACGUACACUCCUACGGGAGGCAGCAGUGGGGAAUAUUGGACAAUGGGCGCAAGCCUGAUCCAGCCAUGCCGCGUGAGUGAUGAAGGCCCUAGGGUUGUAAAGCUCUUUCACCGGUGAAGAUAAUGACGGUAACCGGAGUAGAAGCCCCGGCUAACUUCGUGCCAGCAGCCGCGGUAAUACGAAGGGGGCUAGCGUUGUUCGGAUUUACUGGGCGUAAAGCGCACGUAGGCGGACUAUUAAGUCAGGGGUGAAAUCCCGGGGCUCAACCCCGGAACUGCCUUUGAUACUGGUAGUCUUGAGUUCGAGAGAGGUGAGUGGAAUUCCGAGUGUAGAGGUGAAAUUCGUAGAUAUUCGGAGGAACACCAGUGGCGAAGGCGGCUCACUGGCUCGAUACUGACGCUGAGGUGCGAAAGCGUGGGGAGCAAACAGGAUUAGAUACCCUUGUAGUCCCAUGAU
Molecule: ribosomal RNA, 456 nt
Filed under: uncultured organism
Description: partial 16S ribosomal RNA
Rfam family: Bacterial small subunit ribosomal RNA
Source: RNAcentral